GCAAUCUCAGGGGGCAACAUAUCUGAGACACAUCCGUCACCAUGAAUUCAGGCUGAUUGCAUGUUGACGAUCCGUAGGUACUGCCGGCGAUUGGCGCUGUCAGUAGAAGGGCAUUAAUCAUGCUGUCUUGCGCAGUAAAGCAAGCGCAUCAUUGAAGGAACCCAACU
Molecule: non-coding RNA, 167 nt
Organism: Photobacterium halotolerans
Lineage: Bacteria; Pseudomonadati; Pseudomonadota; Gammaproteobacteria; Vibrionales; Vibrionaceae
Source: Rfam